UCGCGAGGCCGCGCCCUAAGUCGCGGGGUGUCCGGCGCGCGAUUGUAGCUGCCUGGCGGCGGGAGAAGUAGCGUUCGCGCUGAGGGACGUUUGUCUGCACUCGCGUGGCCAUGAAGGCUCCUCAGCCGCUGCCAGCCGCGACGACUGCAGCCCCCAACCGGAGCCGAAGGCUGCUGUUGCUGCCACUACUGCUGUUUCUGCUGCCAGUCCGGGCUCUGCGGGCCUUGGAGACAGAGGAGAGGCCCCGAACCCGUGAAGAGGAGUGCCACUUCUACGCGGGGGGACAAGUGUACCCGGGGGAGGCGUCCCGAGUUUCAGUCGCCGACCACUCCCUGCAUCUCAGCAAAGCCAAGAUUUCCAAGCCAGCACCUUAUUGGGAAGGAACAGCUGUGAUAAAUGGAGAGUUUAAGGAGCUCAAGUUAACUGAUUAUCGUGGAAAAUACCUGGUUUUUUUCUUCUACCCACUUGAUUUCACUUUUGUGUGUCCAACUGAAAUCAUCGCCUUUGGUGAUAGAAUUGAAGAAUUCAGAUCUAUCAACACCGAAGUGGUGGCAUGCUCUGUUGAUUCACAGUUUACCCAUUUGGCCUGGAUUAACACCCCUCGAAGACAAGGAGGACUUGGGUCCAUCAAGAUUCCACUGCUUUCAGAUUUGACCCAUCAGAUCUCAAAAGACUAUGGCGUAUAUCUGGAAGACUCAGGCCACACUCUUAGAGGUCUCUUCAUUAUUGAUGACAAAGGGAUCCUAAGACAGAUUACUCUGAAUGAUCUUCCUGUGGGUAGAUCGGUGGAUGAGACACUGCGUUUGGUUCAAGCAUUCCAGUACACCGAUAAACAUGGAGAAGGCUCCAUUUUCAAUUUCAUUCGGACAAAGAAAAGCCAAGAGAUGCUGAAGAGAACUGAACUCAACAGUCUUUUGCCAAUUUUUGUUCCUUUCAGUGUGCCCUGCUGGAUGGAAACCUGGGAGUGAAACAAUCAAACCUGAAGAUGCCAUGAAAGCCUGGUGGCCACGAGAAGAGCUAUAAUCCCAGAUCCCGCUGGAAAACUGAAGUAUUUCGACAAACUGAACUGAAAAAUACUUCAAGUUACAAUGUUUGAACGUUGUCAAUAAAGGACACUGUGUUACUUACC
RNA transcript from Phyllostomus discolor (pale spear-nosed bat), 1129 nucleotides. It is a transcript of the gene named peroxiredoxin 4, with no coding region annotated. The transcript has 8 exons. The record is from RefSeq and is a predicted model, not a curated record. NCBI's taxonomy places the organism in Eukaryota, Metazoa, Chordata, Mammalia, Chiroptera, Phyllostomidae.